Molecule: ribosomal RNA, 1389 nt
Filed under: Triticum aestivum (bread wheat)
Lineage: Eukaryota; Viridiplantae; Streptophyta; Magnoliopsida; Poales; Poaceae
Description: partial small subunit ribosomal RNA
Source: RNAcentral
AUGUCUAACGAAGUAGCUAGCACUAGAAGAAAGAAAGAGAACGGGACAUCGAAAGCAGGAAGGAGAAACAGCUACUGCGGAAUGGCCGGUGAGGAGGAGGUGCAGGUGGUAGAGUCCUGCUUUGUAACGCCGGCCAAGGACACGCCGCGAAAAGCACUGCGGCUGUCACCACUCGACCUCCUCAUGCUAGCCAACAGAGGCUACACCCCACUCGUCCACUUCUAUCGCCGCCGAUGUUCCGUCGACGACUUCUUCGACGUGGCUAAGUUGAAGACAGCACUGGGCAAGGCCCUCGUGCCCUUCUACCCCAUGGCCGGCCGCCUCAGGGCCGACGCCGACGGCAGGUUAGAGAUUGACUGCAACGGCGAGGGCAUGCCCUUCCUCGUGGCUCACUGUCACCUCACCGUUGAUGACUUUAGCGAGUUCAAGCCAUCACCAAGGUUAAGGGGGUUGUUUGUUCCCCACACCGACGACUCAGAGGGCAUCGUGUGCAGCACUCAGGUGACAUUCUUGAAGUGUGGUGGGGUGGCCUUAGGGACGGCAGUGCACCAUGGCGCUAUGGAUGGCACUGCCGCGUUCCACUUCUUCCAGACAUGGUCUGCUUUCUCAAGGGAGGGCGACUGGGCUGUGAUGAAGACCCCCUACCACGACCGCAGCCUCUUGUUUGCGCGCAACCCACCCUUUGUUCAUCCCGACACCCUCUCCAUUUUUUGCCUCAAGGUAAACAUGUCGCAGCUGUCGGGGCCGGUUGUCAACGAGGUUUUCACCCUUGGCAAGGGCCAAGUUUCCACUCUCAAGCGCAUCUGCGGUGGCGACAUGAGCACCUUUAGUGUCGUGAGUGCCCACAUGUGGCAGUGCAUGUGUUUGGCCCGGCGGCUACCGCCGAACUGCACGACGCGCCUCGUGUUCCCGGCCAAUGUUCGGCGCAGUAUGACGCCGCCUCUUCCGGACGGCUACUUCGGCAACGCGAUAACAUAUGUAAGUGUUGCCAACGAAGCACGGGGCAUCGCCUCAGGUGACCUGGCCUACAUAGUGCGCCGGAUUAGAGACAGCCUCAGCCGGGUGGACGAUGAGCUAGUGCAUUCUGCAGUCGACUACCUCGAGCUAGCAAAGACGGACAACCGCCCUGCUACAGGCAGUUUGCCAGCGACAGAUAUGAGAGUGGUUAGUUGGCUUGGCAUGCCGGUGUAUGAUGUGGAUUUCAGUUGGGGAAAGCCAUUGGCUAUGUUGCGUGCUGAAUCAAACCGCGGAGGCUAUGUGCACCUGAUUGACAGCGGGCAUGGGGAUGGCAGCAUACGCCUAGUCAUGUGUAUAGAGGCUUCAAUUCUCAAGGAGUUCAAGCGUUUGUUGUAUGCCAAGUUUGAGAGCAUGGUGUAUUCCAAGUUCUAG